CGUGGCUAACCUGCCCUCGGGAUAGGAAUACCCCCGGGAAACUGGGGCUAAUUCCCAAUAGGCGAAGAACUCUGGAAUGAGUCUUCACUUAAAAGGCGCCAGAGUUAUGCUCUUUGGCGUCGCCCAAGGAUGGGGCCGCGACCGAUCAGGUUGUUGGUGAGGUAAUGGCUCACCAAGCCUUUUACCGGUGCGGGCCGUGGGAGCGGGAGCCCGGAGAUGGGCACUGAGACAAGGGCCCAGGCCCUACGGGGCGCAGCAGUCGCGAAAACUUUGCAAUAAGCGAAAGCUUGACAGGGCUAUCCCGAGUGCCAUCCGCUGAGGAAGGCUUUUACCCAGUCUAGAACGCUGGGGGAAUAAGGAGAGGGCAAGUCUGGUGUCAGCCGCCGCGGUAAUACCAGCUCUCCGAGUGGUGUGGACGUUUAUUGGGCCUAAAGCAUCCGUAGCUGGCUAGGUUAGUCCCCUGUUAAAUCCACCGAAUUAAUCGUUGGAUUGCGGGGGAUACUGCUUGGCUAGGGGACGAGAGAGGCAGACGGUAUUUCCGGGGUAGGGGUGAAAUCCUAUAAUCCCGGGAAGACCACCAGUGGCGAAGGCUGUCUGCUAGAACGCGCCCGACGGUGAGGGAUGAAAGCUGGGGGAGCGAACCGGAUUAGAUACCCGGGUAGUCCCAGCUGU
Molecule: ribosomal RNA, 672 nt
Filed under: uncultured archaeon
Lineage: Archaea
Description: bacterial SSU rRNA
Rfam family: Archaeal small subunit ribosomal RNA
Source: RNAcentral